GCCGGGUGUGGUGGCGGGCGCCUGUAAUCCCAGCUACUUGGGAGGCUGAGGCAGGAGAAUUGCUUGAACCCAGGAGGUGGAGGUUGCAGUAAGCUGAGAUUGCACUACUGCACUCCAGCCUGGGUGACAGAGCAAGACUCCGUCUUGG
Molecule: small RNA, 148 nt
Filed under: Pongo abelii (Sumatran orangutan)
Lineage: Eukaryota; Metazoa; Chordata; Mammalia; Primates; Hominidae
Description: Metazoan signal recognition particle RNA (ENSPPYG00000037956.1)
Source: Rfam by way of RNAcentral